RNAcentral lists this ribosomal RNA (262 nucleotides) under uncultured archaeon. Its description in RNAcentral is "partial 16S ribosomal RNA". It matches the Rfam family "Archaeal small subunit ribosomal RNA", at positions 748 to 1009 of the family's 1478-position model. The record is from RNAcentral.
UAGCCGUAAACGAUACUCGCUAGGUGUCGGCCACGGUGCGACCGUUGUCGGUGCCGUAGGGAAGCCGUGAAGCGAGCCACCUGGGAAGUACGGCCGCAAGGCUGAAACUUAAAGGAAUUGGCGGGGGAGCACAACAACGGGUGGAGCUUGCGGUUUAAUUGGAUUCAACGCCGGAAAUCUUACCGGGACCGACAGCAACAUGAAGGCCAAGCUGAAGACUUCGCCGGAUUAGCUGAGAGGAGGUGCAUGGGCGUAGUCGUGU